Molecule: ribosomal RNA, 42 nt
Filed under: Anopheles strodei s.l. CP form
Lineage: Eukaryota; Metazoa; Arthropoda; Insecta; Diptera; Culicidae
Description: Anopheles strodei s. l. CP form partial 28S ribosomal RNA
Source: RNAcentral
UGGGCCUCAAAUAAUGUGUGACUACCCCCUAAUUUUAAGCAU